UGACGGAGCAACGCCGCGUGAGUGAUGAAGGUCUUCGGAUCGUAAAACUCUGUUAUUAGGGAAGAACAUAUGUGUAAGUAACUGUGCACAUCUUGACGGUACCUAAUCAGAAAGCCACGGCUAACUACGUGCCAGCAGCCGCGGUAAUACGUAGGUGGCAAGCGUUAUCCGGAAUUAUUGGGCGUAAAGCGCGCGUAGGCGGUUUUUUAAGUCUGAUGUGAAAGCCCACGGCUCAACCGUGGAGGGUCAUUGGAAACUGGAAAACUUGAGUGCAGAAGAGGAAAGUGGAAUUCCAUGUGUAGCGGUGAAAUGCGCAGAGAUAUGGAGGAACACCAGUGGCGAAGGCGACUUUCUGGUCUGUAACUGACGCUGAUGUGCGAAAGCGUGGGGAUCAAACAGGAUUAGAUACCCUGGUA
RNAcentral lists this ribosomal RNA (416 nucleotides) under Staphylococcus aureus. RNAcentral describes it as "bacterial SSU rRNA". It matches the Rfam family "Bacterial small subunit ribosomal RNA", at positions 384 to 792 of the family's 1533-position model. The record is from RNAcentral. Lineage: Bacteria; Bacillati; Bacillota; Bacilli; Caryophanales; Staphylococcaceae.